UGGGGAAUUUUCCGCAAUGGGGGCAACCCUGACGGAGCCACGCCGCGUGCGGGAGGAAGGCCUUUGGGUUGUAAACCGCUUUUCUCAGGGAAGAAGCUCUGACGGUACCUGAGGAAUCAGCCUCGGCUAACUCCGUGCCAGCAGCCGCGGUAAUACGGAGGAUGCAAGCGUUAUCCGGAAUUAUUGGGCGUAAAGCGUCCGCAGGUGGCACUUCAAGUCUGCUGUCAAAGACCAGAGCUCAAGUCUGGGCAGGCGGUGGAAACUGGGGAGCUAGCGUACGGUAGGGGUAGAGGGAAUUUCCAGUGUAGCGGUGAAAUGCGUAGAGAUUGGAAAGAACACCAGUGGCGAAGGCGCUCUACUGGACCUGUACUGACACUAAGGGACGAAAGCUAGGGGAGCGAAAGGGAUUAGAUACCCCUGUAGUCC
Molecule: ribosomal RNA, 426 nt
Filed under: uncultured prokaryote
Description: bacterial SSU rRNA
Rfam family: Bacterial small subunit ribosomal RNA
Source: RNAcentral